UUAACAUUCCCCUAAUGAAGUUAAUCUGUUCUUAUCAGUUUAAUAUCUGAUAUGUCCUCUAUAUAAGGACUACAUAUUCAAUGGAUUUUUUGGAACAGGGAGAUGGAAUAGACGCUUGCUCCAUCCACUCCGUGCAUCGACCUGCUAUUGUAAUAUCUCCAGGAAUGGUGCAUCUCCC
This 178-nucleotide small nuclear RNA is filed under the name Sphenodon punctatus (tuatara). RNAcentral describes it as "U2 spliceosomal RNA (ENSSPUG00000002147.1)". It matches the Rfam family "U2 spliceosomal RNA". Rfam says of the family: U2 is a small nuclear RNA (snRNA) component of the spliceosome (involved in pre-mRNA splicing). Complementary binding between U2 snRNA (in an area lying towards the 5' end but 3' to hairpin I) and the branchpoint sequence (BPS) of the intron results the bulging out of an unpaired adenosine, on the BPS, which initiates a nucleophilic attack at the intronic 5' splice site, thus starting the first of two transesterification reactions that mediate splicing. The record is from Rfam by way of RNAcentral. Lineage: Eukaryota; Metazoa; Chordata; Lepidosauria; Sphenodontia; Sphenodontidae.